This 490-nucleotide ribosomal RNA is filed under the name uncultured bacterium. RNAcentral's name for it is "partial 16S ribosomal RNA". It matches the Rfam family "Bacterial small subunit ribosomal RNA", at positions 30 to 507 of the family's 1533-position model. The record is from RNAcentral.
AUUGAACGCUGGCGGCAGGCCUAACACAUGCAAGUCGAACGGUAACAGGAAGAAGCUUGCUUCUUUGCUGACGAGUGGCGGACGGGUGAGUAAUGUCUGGGAAACUGCCUGAUGGAGGGGGAUAACUACUGGAAACGGUAGCUAAUACCGCAUAAUGUCGCAAGACCAAAGAGGGGGACCUUCUGGCCUCUUGCCAUCGGAUGUGCCCAGAUGGGAUUAGCUAGUAGGUGGGGUAACGGCUCACCUAGGCGACGAUCCCUAGCUGGUCUGAGAGGAUGACCAGCCACACUGGAACUGAGACACGGUCCAGACUCCUACGGGAGGCAGCAGUGGGGAAUAUUGCACAAUGGGGGCAAGCCUGAUGCAGCUAUGCCGCGUGUAUGAAGAAGGCCUUCGGGUUGUAAAGUACUUUCAGCGGGGAGGAAGGGAGUAAAGUUAAUACCUUUGCUCAUUGACGUUACCCGCAGAAGAAGCACCGGCUAACUCCGUG